AGUGAACGCUGGCGGUAGGCCUAACACAUGCAAGUCGAACGGCAGCACAGUAAGAGCUUGCUCCUACUGGUGGCGAGUGGCGGACGGGUGAGGAAUACAUCGGAAUCUACUUUUUCGUGGGGGAUAACGUAUGGAAACUUCCGCUAAUACCUCAUACUACCUACGGGUGAAAGCAGGGGAUCUUCUGACCUUGCGCGAUUGAAUGAGCCGAUGUCGGGUUAGCUAGUUGGUGGGGUAAAGGCCCACCAAGGCGACGAUCCGUAGCUGGUCUGAGAGGAUGAUCAGCCACACUGGAACUGAGACACGGUCCAGACUCCUACGGGAGGCAGCAGUGGGGAAUAUUGGACAAUGGGCGCAAGCCUGAUCCAGCAAUACCGCGUGGGUGAAGAAGGCCUUCGGGUUGUAAAGCCCUUCUGUUGGGAAAGAAAAGCAGCAGGUUAAUACCCGGCUGUUCUGACGGUACCCAAAGAAUAAGCACCGGCUAACUUCGUG
RNAcentral lists this ribosomal RNA (492 nucleotides) under uncultured bacterium. RNAcentral's name for it is "partial 16S ribosomal RNA". It matches the Rfam family "Bacterial small subunit ribosomal RNA", at positions 29 to 507 of the family's 1533-position model. The record is from RNAcentral.